AUUGAACGCUGGCGGCAGGCCUUACACAUGCAAGUCGAACGGAGUGGCGAACGGGUGCGUAAUGUAUCGGAACGUGACCAGUAGCGGGGGAUAACUAACCGAAAGCGUCGCUAAUACCGCAUACUAUUGGACCGGCCGAUAUCGGAUUAGCUUGGUGGUGGGGUAACGGCUCACCAAGGCGACGAUCCGUAGCUGGUGUUGGAGGACGACCAGCCAAACUGGGACCGAUACACGGCCCAGAAUCCUACGGUAGGAAGCAGUGGGGAAUUGUGGACAAUGGGGGAAACCCUGAUCCAGCCAUCCCGCGUGGGCGAUGAAGGCCUUCGGGUUGUAAAGCACUUUUGGCAGGAAAGCGGUACCUGCAGAAUAAGCACCGGCUAACUACGUGCCAGCCGCCGCGGUAAUAC
This 407-nucleotide ribosomal RNA is filed under the name uncultured bacterium. RNAcentral describes it as "partial 16S ribosomal RNA". It matches the Rfam family "Bacterial small subunit ribosomal RNA", at positions 30 to 526 of the family's 1533-position model. The record is from RNAcentral.